AGAUGUUCGGUUAAGUCCGCUAACGAGCGCAACCCUCGCUGUGUGUUAUAUGUGUCACACGGGACUGCCGGUCUUAAGCCGGAGGAAGGUGGGGAGUGAUGUCAAGUCAGCAUGGCCUUUAUAUCCUGGGCUACACACACGCUACAAUGGCCAACACAAUAGGUUGCUAAGCCGCGAGGUGGCGCCAAUCCAUAAAGUUGGUCUCAGUUCAGAUUGUAGGCUGCAACCCGCCUGCAUGAAGAUGGAGUUGCUAGUAACCGCAGGUCAGCUAUACUGCGGUGAAUACGUUCCCGGGGCUU
Molecule: ribosomal RNA, 299 nt
Filed under: uncultured Leptolinea sp.
Lineage: Bacteria; Bacillati; Chloroflexota; Anaerolineae; Anaerolineales; Anaerolineaceae
Description: partial 16S ribosomal RNA
Rfam family: Bacterial small subunit ribosomal RNA
Source: RNAcentral